UCAUCUACAGGUGAGCACGCUGCCCUCUCAGCUCCAAGCUCUGUCAGGAUGUUUGUAAGGUGUGAAGUGUUCUGGAAUUGGAUUUGUGCACGUGUAUAGGUAGUAGGUACUGGCAACUGAUGCAAAACGGGCUGCCGCACGCCAAGACUGACAUCAAGUUGGAGUCGGCGGCUUGAAGAAGAGCAAGGGUGGUCAACCGAACGAUCUGGUAGAGCUCAGGAGCUGCCUCUUCUUCAAGGUAUUAUUGCACAUGUAUAAUGGUCGUUGCAUUUUUUCGUAGGGGAAAUGGUUUAUGCUAGGGGUUCCUUUUUUAUAGGAAACCUGCAAAAUAGUACUCACAUUAAAGGUCACAAAAUUAUAUACUUCAUUCAAGAUGGAGCAAGUUAGUUGUGUUUGGUGCUCAAUCAACUUGGAGCUUCAGCUUUGAUCUGUAUUAUUAUUCUGGUGUGAAGGUUUACUGAGUUUUUCAUGGAAAAAAAGCUGGCUGCCAAUGGGUGGCAUCGAUUCCAUUCGCAUCGAACUUUAUUCCGUCAUGGGCGAGCUAGAUCCAGCAGUAUGGUGGCAAGGGAGUUUGAACUGGCCUUUGGUUUCUUUGUGAAGUGGGAGUGACAGCAAAUCCAGGGCGCUGAUGGGCUCGAUCCAGUGGUAGGGUUCUCCAUGCUUUGGUUCCACAUCAGCACAACAACCUCUAUGACGAGCUUGGUACCGGUACGCCUUCCCGAGGCUAUAAAAUGUUCUUCCAGAUAUGUUCCAAGGUCAUUUUUAUGGGAGGCCAUGAUGCGAUGGAAACAUCACCAUGAUCUCUCGAAGAAUCUCUAUUGCAUUUCAUGUCUUCGAUGUUAAACAUAAAGGGUCAAGUAACAGAGAGAAAGAAAGAGGAGAUUAUUUAUUUGUUAGUUAUAGUAUCUGUACUGAAUAAACUUGGAUCAGAACCAUGUAUUGGCUCAAUGCUGAAGCUGUUUUAGCCUAAUAUCAGGUCUAGAGUAUAGUAAGAUUCUAUGGAGUUGCAAGAACUUUCCCCUGGUGCUAUAUCCCAUGGUGUUCUUUGCACACUCCCAUGUUUGCUGGAAAGCUUACAUAAUUCCCAUGAUGUUCCUAACUUAU
This is a long non-coding RNA of Lolium rigidum, 1104 nucleotides long. RefSeq lists it as uncharacterized. The transcript has 3 exons. The record is from RefSeq and is a predicted model, not a curated record. NCBI's taxonomy places the organism in Eukaryota, Viridiplantae, Streptophyta, Magnoliopsida, Poales, Poaceae.